RNAcentral lists this transfer RNA (67 nucleotides) under Curculionidae sp. BMNH 1274272. RNAcentral describes it as "tRNA-Val". The record is from RNAcentral. Lineage: Eukaryota; Metazoa; Arthropoda; Insecta; Coleoptera; Curculionidae.
AUCCAAAUAAAAGCUUAUAUAGCAUUUUAGUUACAUUAAAAAGAUUAUUAUUAUUAAUAUUAUUUGA